This 69-nucleotide transfer RNA is filed under the name Paragavialidium hainanense. Its description in RNAcentral is "tRNA-Lys". The record is from RNAcentral. RNAcentral also lists the same sequence under 1 other name. Lineage: Eukaryota; Metazoa; Arthropoda; Insecta; Orthoptera; Tetrigidae.
CAUUAGAUGGCUGAACACUUAAGCAAUGGUCUCUUAAACCACUUCAUAGUAUUAUAAUACUUCUAAUGA